GCCGACGUAGCUCAGUUGGCAGAGCAGCCGCCUCGUAAGUGGCAGGUCGUGGGUUCGAAUCCCACCGUCGGCUCCA
RNAcentral lists this transfer RNA (76 nucleotides) under bacterium. Its description in RNAcentral is "tRNA-Thr". It matches the Rfam family "tRNA". From Rfam's summary of the family: Transfer RNA (tRNA) molecules are approximately 80 nucleotides in length. The record is from RNAcentral. RNAcentral also lists the same sequence under 1 other name.